This is a long non-coding RNA of Cimex lectularius (bed bug), 501 nucleotides long. RefSeq lists it as uncharacterized. The record is from RefSeq and is a predicted model, not a curated record. The transcript is spliced from 2 exons. Lineage: Eukaryota; Metazoa; Arthropoda; Insecta; Hemiptera; Cimicidae.
GAUCCUACUGUUUUUCCCACUUUUGAACGGUAGGAAAACUCGUUAAAGAGAAAACAAAAAAUUCGAUUUGUAAGAUCAGCCGAGGCAGGUCGACUACACAGCACACGGGACCCACAGCAAAAGAGGGGCCGGGAAAAUCAAUAGGCGGACUAGUCGACGAGGAUUAUCGUUUCUGCUCAGACAUGUCAAUCCUUGACCGUUUUAUCUGUAGACUCCGUGGAAUGAACAUCCCGACCAGUGGCCUCAGUCAGACGGUGGUCAGAUAACUGUACAUUCCUAAAUAACAUUCUGUUCUCUUAUGUAGCACACAUCCGAUGUAACUGUAGUGAAAGUGCCUUAUCAUCAGAACACCAACUCAGUCUCAACUCGGCUUUCAACCAAGGAUGUCGUCGGCGGCCAAAUUGCUACACGUUCUCUCUCUAGGCCUCUACUUGUAUGUUACAUAUUUUUUACAAUUAAGAGAUGUCGAAGGGAAGAAAUCGAACGAGGACCCGACCAUCA